Triticum aestivum (bread wheat) is the source of this 183-nucleotide non-coding RNA. NCBI's taxonomy places the organism in Eukaryota, Viridiplantae, Streptophyta, Magnoliopsida, Poales, Poaceae. The record is from Rfam.
CAACUACUCCCUCUAUCCCAAAUUUUUGUCUUAGAUUUGUCUAGAUACGGAUGUAUCUAAUACUAAAAUGUGACUUGAUACAUCAGUAUCUAGAUACGGAUGUAUCUAAUACUAAAAUGUGACUUGAUACAUCCGUAUCUAGACAAAUCUAAGACAAGAAUUUUGGGACGGAGGGAGUACUUU